This 468-nucleotide ribosomal RNA is filed under the name uncultured bacterium. Its description in RNAcentral is "bacterial SSU rRNA". It matches the Rfam family "Bacterial small subunit ribosomal RNA", at positions 29 to 506 of the family's 1533-position model. The record is from RNAcentral.
AUGAACGCUGGCGGCGUGCUUAACACAUGCAAGUCGAACGAUGAAAGCGGGAGCUUGCUCCUGCUGGAUUAGUGGCGAACGGGUGAGUAACACGUGAGUAACCUGCCCUUGACUCUGGGAUAAGCGUUGGAAACGACGUCUAAUACCGGAUACGACCUUCGGAGGCAUCUCCUGGGGGUGGAAAGAAUUUCGGUCAAGGAUGGACUCGCGGCCUAUCAGCUAGUUGGUGAGGUAAUGGCUCACCAAGGCGACGACGGGUAGCCGGCCUGAGAGGGUGACCGGCCACACUGGGACUGAGACACGGCCCAGACUCCUACGGGAGGCAGCAGUGGGGAAUAUUGCACAAUGGGCGCAAGCCUGAUGCAGCAACGCCGCGUGAGGGACGACGGCCUUCGGGUUGUAAACCUCUUUUAGUAGGGAAGAAGCGAAAGUGACGGUACCUGCAGAAAAAGCACCGGCUAACUACGU